Molecule: long non-coding RNA, 746 nt
Organism: Manis pentadactyla (Chinese pangolin)
Lineage: Eukaryota; Metazoa; Chordata; Mammalia; Pholidota; Manidae
Exons: 3
Source: RefSeq, a predicted model, not a curated record
UGAGCAGGUGAGAUGAGACGGCAGGAGCUGGGGAGGGAUGCAGUCUUAGUUCUCCGUCUCAAUCAGAAUUCUAGGAUGGCCUCCAUGAUCUCUGCCCCCAGUGCUGUGCCCAUGAUUAGGCUGCAUUAUAUGUCAAAGGAUUUAUUUCUGUUAAUUGCAGUGCCCCUCCCUGCUUUCCCAAAGAAAUAAUCACUACAGUGCAGAGUACAUCCCAGGAGUGCUGGGGCAGAAACAAGUUUGCAAACUUCUGGGCCGCCGAGAUUUUGCUCUGGGAACAGAGCCGAGGAGAAAUGACAGCGCCAUGUGGACGAGAGGUCCCUGGACCGACCUCAGGACAUCAGCUGCCCUCUCGGGGUCUCAGUUUUCCUCACCUCUCUUAUGAGGGAAUGGGACUAGAUAGUCUCUAGGGUCUUUAGUUAUAAAUACACAUGAGUCUCCUAAAAAAGAAGCAAUGGACCCAAAUCAAAUCUAUGGUUCGAUUUCACUUUCCCCUCUGCUAUUUCCACCUCUCACGUGGUUGGAGGGGCCGGGGCUGCAUUUUGUGGAAUUUCCCAGUAUAAUUUGCCACAAAAAGUGUUUGUACUGGUCUGGCCCAAGGAAUUGAAGGCCUCCUUCUGCACAGUGCAGAGUGAAGGGUGCUGGUACUGCCUCUUACCUUGGUUUGUAGCAAGGCUCCUGCCUCCGCCCGGUUCUUUUCAACAUCUCUCUCCCAGUGAAUUCUGAUUGAUUCAAGGAUGUCUUCCAGA